This 980-nucleotide ribosomal RNA is filed under the name Natronomonas sp. MaC2. RNAcentral's name for it is "bacterial SSU rRNA". It matches the Rfam family "Archaeal small subunit ribosomal RNA", at positions 53 to 1037 of the family's 1478-position model. Lineage: Archaea; Methanobacteriati; Methanobacteriota; Halobacteria; Halobacteriales; Natronomonadaceae. The record is from RNAcentral.
GCGAGUUGUACGUAUAACGUAGCAAACUGCUCAGUAACACGUGGCCAAACUGCCCUAUGGACUAGGAUAACCUCGGGAAACUGAGGCUAAUCCUGGAUAGUACAUCCAGUCUGGAACUGGCGGAUGUAUCAAAUGCUCCGGCGCCAUAGGAUGUGGCUGCGGCCGAUUAGGUAGACGGUGGGGUAACGGCCCACCGUGCCGAUAAUCGGUACGGGUCAUGAGAGUGAGAGCCCGGAGACGGACUCUGAGACACGAGUCCGGGCCCUACGGGGCGCAGCAGGCGCGAAACCUUUACACUGCACGCCAGUGCGAUAGGGGGACACCGAGUGCGAGGGCAUAGAGCCCUCGCUUUUCUGUACCGUAAGGUGGUACAGGAACAAGGGCUGGGCAAGACCGGUGCCAGCCGCCGCGGUAACACCGGCAGCCCAAGUGAUGGCCGAUAUUAUUGGGCCUAAAGCGUCCGUAGCUGGCCGAGCAAGUUCGUCGGGAAAUCCACUCGCUUAACGAGUGGGCGUCCGGCGAAAACUGUUCGGCUUGGGACCGGAAGACCUGAAGGGUACGUCUGGGGUAGGAGUGAAAUCCCGUAAUCUUGGACGGACCACCGAUGGCGAAAGCACUUCAGGAGGACGGAUCCGACAGUGAGGGACGAAAGCUAGGGUCUCGAACCGGAUUAGAUACCCGGGUAGUCCUAGCCGUAAACGAUGCUCGCUAGGUGUGGCACAGGCUACGAGCCUGUGCUGUGCCGUAGGGAAGCCGUGAAGCGAGCCGCCUGGGAAGUACGUCUGCAAGGAUGAAACUUAAAGGAAUUGGCGGGGGAGCACUACAACCGGAGGAGCCUGCGGUUUAAUUGGACUCAACGCCGGACAUCUCACCAGCUCCGACAGCAGUGAUGACGAUCAGGUUGAUGAUCUUAUUCGAGCUGCUGAGAGGAGGUGCAUGGCCGCCGUCAGCUCGUACCGUGAGGCGUCCUGUUAAGUCAG